CAAAUAGUGAAGCACGUCGAGACAUUGCAUGCUGCACAUCAUGAUCGUGUCGACGACAUCUCCACAUGCACAUUAGUAGCCCAAGUUUUGAUUGAAGGUCAAGAGCAAUACUGUUGUGCAAAUCGUUCUUCUAACUGGGGUAUAGGGGCUAAUUAAAGACUAACUGAACCGUCUAAAAGUUGGUUCCCUAAAAGGUUCCUUCAAGAUAACUAUAGCCCAUAUAUGAACGACUUCUAUCUGGUAAAGCCAAUGAUUAGAAGCAUUGAGAGUGUUGCACCCUCGACCUAUUCUUAAACUUCAAAUUGGUAGGAUGACAUGGCAGUUUUGCCGAGCCCAGCCAUGGAAUCAAGAGCUCCAACUGGGCCAUUUUUUGUAAACAAAUUUACCGAUGCAGGUUGAAUGGGAAGUUAGGUUACAGUGCCCAAAUAUGCUCUAACUUAGAACCCAAAGGGAAAGGGUGUUGGUUGAUUAAGAUAGCAGGACGAUGGUCAUGGUAGUUAAAAUUCGGUAAGGAGUUCGUAACAACUUACCUCCCACAUUAACUAGUUAGAAAAAUGGAUGGUGCUAAGUGCGUGACAUGUACCCGGCCGUCAAAUGUCAAAUCCCAAUAAGUAGUAGAGGACGGCAGUCGUCGGAAAACCAGGAGCCUAGGUGGAGCAACCGUUGAUGAAGAUUUUG
This 678-nucleotide long non-coding RNA is filed under the name Rosa chinensis. RNAcentral describes it as "sRNA RchiOBHm_Chr1g0347931". It matches the Rfam family "Eukaryotic large subunit ribosomal RNA", at positions 853 to 1453 of the family's 3401-position model. Lineage: Eukaryota; Viridiplantae; Streptophyta; Magnoliopsida; Rosales; Rosaceae. The record is from Rfam by way of RNAcentral.